RNAcentral lists this ribosomal RNA (38 nucleotides) under Cryptococcus sp. VITGBN2. RNAcentral's name for it is "partial 18S ribosomal RNA". The record is from RNAcentral. Lineage: Eukaryota; Fungi; Basidiomycota; Tremellomycetes; Tremellales; Cryptococcaceae.
GUCGUAACAAGGUUAACCUGCGGAAGGAUCAUUAAAGA